Molecule: ribosomal RNA, 472 nt
Filed under: uncultured bacterium
Lineage: Bacteria
Description: bacterial SSU rRNA
Rfam family: Bacterial small subunit ribosomal RNA
Source: RNAcentral
UGGGGAAUAUUGCGCAAUGGGCGAAAGCCUGACGCAGCAACGCCGCGUGAGUGAUGAAGGCCUUCGGGUUGUAAAGCUCUUUCGGCGGGGACGAAACGGUCCGUGACAACACCACGGACUAAUGACAGUACUCGCAGAAGAAGCACCGGCUAACUACGUGCCAGCAGCCGCGGUAAUACGUAGGGUGCAGGCGUUAAUCGGAAUUACUGGGCGUAAAGCGUGCGCAGGCGGCUCCUUAAGUCAGAUGUGAAAUCCCCGGGCUUAACCUGGGAACUGCGUUUGAAACUGAGGGGCUAGAGUGUGGAAGAGGGGGGUGGAAUUCCAGGUGUAGCAGUGAAAUGCGUAGAUAUUUGGAGGAACACCGAUGGCGAAGGCAGCCCCCUGGGCUAACACUGACGCUCAUGCACGAAAGCGUGGGGAGCAAACAGGAUUAGAUACCCCAGUAGUCCCUGAGCGGGCUGGCAAGGCGCAU